Molecule: long non-coding RNA, 460 nt
Organism: Dioscorea cayenensis subsp. rotundata (Guinea yam)
Lineage: Eukaryota; Viridiplantae; Streptophyta; Magnoliopsida; Dioscoreales; Dioscoreaceae
Exons: 3
Source: RefSeq, a predicted model, not a curated record
GGGGAGGUAUAUUGCUUCCAACCGCUGCUUGGGCUUAACCUCAAGGUGGUGUGGUUGUUGCUGGUGGAGAAGGCAGAACCAUUGCCAAGACCAAAGUGGGCAUUGGUGUGCACUAUGCAGAUUGUGCAAGCUGAGGGGAGAACUACCAGUGGCUUGAUAUUGACUGAGGACAACAAGGAAAAGCCUUCUAUUGGGAUGGUGAUCACCUUUGGGCCAAGUUCAUUGGAUGAGGAGGGACUGCAAAAGCCAUUGUCGAUCACCCUGGGUGAAACUGUUUUAUACUCCCAAGUAUUCAAGAAGUGAAUUUAAGGGUGCAGAUGGUGCCUGAUUAUUUCACCUAAAGGACAUCAAUGUGAUGGCUGUCCUCUCAAAUCAAUGAUCUUUCAAAUUUGUCAUGGUGCCCGAAAGAGUUUUCAAGCUGAGUUGUCAAUUGUAUAAUCCAGGACUACAAAGUUAUUAG